AUUGAACGCUGGCGGCAGGCCUAACACAUGCAAGUCGAGCGAGCGGCGGACGGGUGAGUAAUGUAUGGGGACUGCCCGAUAGAGGGGGAUAACUCCUGGAACCGGUGGCUAAUACCGCAUACUAUCGGAUAACCCAUAUGGGAUUAUCUAGUAGGGGGGGUAAAGGCUCACCUAGGCGACGAUCUCUAGCUGGUCUGAGAGGAUGAUCAGCCACACUGGGACUGCGAAACGGCCCCGACUCGUACGGAGGCAGCAGUGGGGAAUAUUGCACAAUGGGCGCAAGCCUGAGGCAGCCAGGCAGCGUGUAUGAAGAAGGCCUUAGGGUUGUAAAGUACUUUCAGCGGGGAGGUGUUACCCGCAAAAGAAGCACCGGCUAACGCCGUGCCAGCCGCUGCGGUAAUUC
This 403-nucleotide ribosomal RNA is filed under the name uncultured bacterium. RNAcentral's name for it is "partial 16S ribosomal RNA". It matches the Rfam family "Bacterial small subunit ribosomal RNA", at positions 30 to 526 of the family's 1533-position model. The record is from RNAcentral.